ACAAUGUUAGAAUGCCAGCUCCACAAAAGGCAAUGUAAAUCAAAGCAUCUCACAGGGAAAAUGGACUCUGAUCCAUCAAUUGCAAGUGCUGAGAAUAAAAUGGGAGCCACAUUUUCUCUUUCCACCUUUCAUAAUUUUUUCCUAAUCAACGGGGAACUGCAACUUUCUUUGGAGAAGGCUCCAGCAAUUAUGUUUCUUUCUGUUGAUUAAUGUAGUUUCUCUUAAUUGUGAAUGCAGAUUAGUCUAAAAAAAUAAACAUUUAAAAAUAUAUGC
This is a non-coding RNA of Notechis scutatus (mainland tiger snake), 273 nucleotides long. The record is from RefSeq and is a predicted model, not a curated record. Lineage: Eukaryota; Metazoa; Chordata; Lepidosauria; Squamata; Elapidae.